This 463-nucleotide ribosomal RNA is filed under the name uncultured bacterium. RNAcentral describes it as "partial 16S ribosomal RNA". It matches the Rfam family "Bacterial small subunit ribosomal RNA", at positions 28 to 507 of the family's 1533-position model. The record is from RNAcentral.
GACGAACGCUGGCGGCGUGCUUAACACAUGCAAGUCGAACGGUGAACCUCUUCGGAGGGGAUCAGUGGCGAACGGGUGAGUAACACGUUGACAACCUGCCCCCGGCUCUGGGAUAACUCCAAGAAAUUGGGGCUAAUACCGGAUGUUCACCGCUUCCCGCAUGGGAGGUGGUGGAAAGGGUUUCCGGCUGGGGAUGGUCCCGCGGCCUAUCAGCUUGAUGGUGGGGUAGUGGCCUACCAAGGCGGCGACGGGUAGCCGGCCUGCGAGGGGGACCGGCCACACUGGGCCUGAGACAGGGGCCAGACUGCUACGGGAGGCAGCAGUGGGGAAUAUUGCGCAAUGGGCGGAAGCCUGACGCAGCGACGCCGCGUGGGGGAUGACGGUCGUCGGGGUGUAAACCUCUUGCAGCAGGGACGAAGCGCAAGUGACGGUACCUGCAGAAGAAGCACCGGCUAACUACGUG